GUAGGGCGUAUGUAAAAAAGGAGUGGAUGAUAUGUUAUUAAGAGACCAGCCCAUUGGGAACACAAAAUAUACUCCAAGUAAAAAAAAGAAACAAGCCAGAAACUUCAAAACACGAGCUUUCAGACCGCUGUGGUGUGUCCAUCCUCCUGUAAAUAAAGUCCAAAAGACUUACCCUGAGCACGCGGCAUGUUUUAAGUGGUGGACCCUACCUAUCAAAUUUUUGAAAAGGCCUCCGCCCAGUGAAAUUUAAAAGAUGAAGCUAAUCUGUACACAUAUAAGUCGGGCUGCCAACGGGCCGGGACGAGCACGAACCGAAACUAUGUGGUAGAGGCCCAAUAGUAGGCCUUUCUAUGAAGAUGAUAUAAUUCUGCUGCCUAUAACAACUCAAGGGAACCUGGAGACUUGCAAGUAGGGCUGCCAACAGGCCGGGCUGAAUCUAGCCCGAGCACAAAAAGAGUGUAAUAGAGGCCGGUCUGGUCCCACCGGGCUCUCAAUAAAAGAUGGUAUAACUUUAUGGUUUGUGACAUUUAUGGAAAUCAUCAUCCUUCUCUAAGCAUCGGUCAUCUUUUUGCUCAGGGUUGGUUUCCAUAGUUGGGUUUCUCUUCUUUGCUUCCAAUGCAUUUGAGGUGAUCAAGUAACAAGCCAUGGAUGAAAGUCUUUUAUUUUUUCACUUUUGUGGACAUGGCCUUGCUUGAUGGGUUCUUGGUUCUCUACAAUGCAAAACCUGAGGCAUUUGAGAAGUGGAGAGGAUAUUAAAAAGGUAAAUCAGUGGGGGAGAAGGCCCAUAUUCCUCUGACACUAGUAUCAAGAGUAAUGCAUGUUUUGAUCAAAUGUGGACACACCCAAUGAUUGUUUCAAAACAUAGCGAUUCAUGAUCCAUAUCGUCAAUCUAGACUGGGAAUCGGUCAGGACCAAAACAGUUCUUGGAAGGUAUUGGUGUACCGCUGCCUGAGUUUUGGCGGGCUCCGUGUGCAAAGCCUGCGAAGGAAUACAAAGGAAUGUAACAGAUAUAGAGAGAGAAAACAGACACAAGAGUGAUGGGGAAGGAAAGAAAAGCAUCAGAUCAGAUGUAGAGAGAGAAAGAACGAAGAGCGCUAAGGCUUAGUGUUAGUGUUACCUGAUAGCAUUGCUACUAAGAAAGAUUGCUAGUAAGAUGAUAACAAGUUGCAGGUCUGAAAUCUAAGGUUUCUCCUUCUUUUACCGAGAAAAGUUAGGGUUUCUUAUUGAAAAAAGCUCUCUCUCUCUCUCCUGGUUAAAUGGAGUGGCGUUAUGGCUCACUAUCACGGGGUGUUUCUUUGAAGCUUCAUCGUGAAGAAUAUUUUGGCAUGCAAGUUGCAACUAGAUGUGAGCUAAUAACCAACUCUAGGAGGCAAAGUGUGGCGAGGCCAAUUUGAUAUUUUCCAAUAAAAUUCUCAAAAGGGAACAAGGUAAAUUUGUUAAGGGCAAUUUAUCAAAGGGUGAGGUUUUUACAUGGCGCUGUCCUUAUAUUUAAGGCGCACUAAUUUGCUUGGAGAUAAAGUUUAAGUGUCGAAAACUUUAUGAUGGCUGAAAAAUCGAUUCUUGUACCUAGCUAUAAAAUUUCAAAUUUAAAAAGUGAUACGAAUCGAGGACACUUGAAAAUCUUGAAAAUGAUCAAAAUUUAAUAGGUAUAGUUAAUAUAAGGCAUCAACCUUGAAUAAUCAAAUAACGCUAGAUGGCAUGAAAGCUGAUUCCCACAACUGGAAUUUUGAAAUUAAGGCUCUAAAAAUGGUGCAGAUUAAGCUAAUC
Non-coding RNA from Amborella trichopoda, 1767 nucleotides. The record is from RefSeq and is a predicted model, not a curated record. Lineage: Eukaryota; Viridiplantae; Streptophyta; Magnoliopsida; Amborellales; Amborellaceae.